AGACAACACCCGCCCGCGGCCGGGCCAGGCGCCGAGCAGGCAGCUGCGGCCCUCGGGAAGCCCGGAGAGGGGACCCACUCCGGCGCCCUGCCCGCGUCCCCCUUUGUGGGUGACAGACUGCACGGGAGGACACCGGGGCAGCUCCCAUGCCCACGAGGGUGCCCUCCCUCGGGAACUAGGGAAGGCAGAAGAGCCCGCUGACCACCAGAAAAAACACGGGGACGGCGGGGACAAGGGCUGACCCGUCUCCACCGAGACUGAACCUCGAGUUCUAAGGCUAAGUACGGGUUUACUUGCUACUUAGGUGGCAGGGAGAGAGGGGAUUUACUUCCUUGGGAGUUUGCUCUCAGAAACGCUGGGGGCAAAGAACACCGCGGUGCCUGGCCCCGGAAGCCCUCGGGGACGGGCGUCUCUGGUGACCGGCCACCCGAGACGGGAAAUGCGCGCUCACCUGGACAGCGCGGCUCAGCGGCACAGAAUGCUGUCGCCCUGCUUGUUCACCGCGCCGGCCUGGAACAGCAACCGAACACCAAGGGAAAGGCAUCAACAGUGAGAACUGGGCAAAGCACAUGAGAUGUCUAAGAUCUGCCAGGAAAAGGACCAUGAAGGACUUGCCUGUGGUCAAGAAUCUACAUCUCAGUAUUUGUACAGUUGAGCCGAAAUGCCUGUUCUAACAAAGAGAGCCUGGGUGGGACUGCCAAGAUGAAUAGACAUAAUCCUCGAUCUAACCACUUCACAGUUUAUCAUCGGAGUCAAGUUUGCAGAUAAACAAUUGCCAUGCAACUUUCAAGGUACAAGUUUAAAAGUAUAUAUGAAUUUUAUUGGGAAGACAUCAGUGACAGCUUCACAGCAAUGUUGUCACCUGAGCUGUAUAUUUAGGUGAAUUAUUUGGACAUGUAAGUAGGGGAAAAGUCAUUCCAGAUGAAGAGAAUGCUAUGACAAAGGUGCUGGGGACUGGAAAAGCCUAGCUUUCCAGAGACUGAGUAUUGCUUUAGUGGGCAAUAAGAGAAGAUAGUAAAGAGAGCUAUAUUAGGAUUUGCUUUAGGGGACUCAGUGCUGGCUAGAUCCUGAAGGGCCCUGAAUACCAUGCCAAGGAACUUGGCUUUUUUCCAUCCUUAAUGAGAGCCAUGAAAAGAUUUUAAGCCAGGAAAUGAUGCUAUUAGAUUUUCAUAUAGGAUUGUAGAAGGGUGUUAGUAGAGUUGAAACUAGAG
This 1211-nucleotide long non-coding RNA is filed under the name Homo sapiens (human). RNAcentral describes it as "non-protein coding lnc-MBOAT1-2:13". The record is from RNAcentral. Lineage: Eukaryota; Metazoa; Chordata; Mammalia; Primates; Hominidae.